UGUCGCAGCGCUCCAGUAGCACGGUGG
RNAcentral lists this small RNA (27 nucleotides) under Bombyx mori (domestic silkworm). Its description in RNAcentral is "ovarian small RNA-35728". Lineage: Eukaryota; Metazoa; Arthropoda; Insecta; Lepidoptera; Bombycidae. The record is from RNAcentral.